GCCUCUUUAGCUCAGUGGUAGAGUACUGGUCUUGUAAACCAGGGGUCGUGAGUUCAAAUCUCACAGGAGGCA
This 72-nucleotide non-coding RNA is filed under the name Anoplophora glabripennis (Asian longhorned beetle). Its description in RNAcentral is "tRNA-Thr". It matches the Rfam family "tRNA". From Rfam's summary of the family: Transfer RNA (tRNA) molecules are approximately 80 nucleotides in length. Their secondary structure includes four short double-helical elements and three loops (D, anti-codon, and T loops). Further hydrogen bonds mediate the characteristic L-shaped molecular structure. tRNAs have two regions of fundamental functional importance: the anti-codon, which is responsible for specific mRNA codon recognition, and the 3' end, to which the tRNAs corresponding amino acid is attached (by aminoacyl-tRNA synthetases). tRNAs cope with the degeneracy of the genetic code in two manners: having more than one tRNA (with a specific anti-codon) for a particular amino acid; and 'wobble' base-pairing, i.e. permitting non-standard base-pairing at the 3rd anti-codon position. The record is from RNAcentral. Lineage: Eukaryota; Metazoa; Arthropoda; Insecta; Coleoptera; Cerambycidae.